RNAcentral lists this ribosomal RNA (253 nucleotides) under uncultured bacterium. RNAcentral's name for it is "partial 16S ribosomal RNA". It matches the Rfam family "Bacterial small subunit ribosomal RNA", at positions 524 to 776 of the family's 1533-position model. The record is from RNAcentral.
UACGUAGGGUGCGAGCGUUAAUCGGAAUUACUGGGCGUAAAGCGUGCUCAGGCGGUUUUGUAAGCCGGAUGUGAAAUCCCCGGGCUCAACCUGGGAAUGGCAUUCGGGACUGCAAGGCUGGAGUGCGGCAGAGGAGACUGGAAUUCCUGGUGUAGCAGUGAAAUGCGUAGAUAUCAGGAGGAAUACCGAUGGCGAAGGCAGGUCUCUGGGCUGACACUGACGCUCAUGCACGAAAGCGUGGGGAGCAAACAGG